UAGCCUCACAUCAUUUGUGCAUACCUUGC
This 29-nucleotide non-coding RNA is filed under the name Mus musculus (house mouse). The record is from RNAcentral. Lineage: Eukaryota; Metazoa; Chordata; Mammalia; Rodentia; Muridae.